AUCCAGCUGAUGAGUCCCAAAUAGGAUGAAACGCGCGCCUUGGAU
Schistosoma curassoni is the source of this 45-nucleotide non-coding RNA. The record is from Rfam. Lineage: Eukaryota; Metazoa; Platyhelminthes; Trematoda; Strigeidida; Schistosomatidae.